RNAcentral lists this ribosomal RNA (292 nucleotides) under uncultured bacterium. RNAcentral's name for it is "partial 16S ribosomal RNA". It matches the Rfam family "Bacterial small subunit ribosomal RNA", at positions 505 to 796 of the family's 1533-position model. The record is from RNAcentral.
GUGCCAGCCGCCGCGGUAAUACGUAGGGGGCGAGCGUUGUCCGGAAUCAUUGGGCGUAAAGCGCGUGUAGGCGGCUUGGUAAGUCUGGUGUGAAAUCCUGGGGCUUAACCCCAGACCUGCACUGGAUACUGCCAAGCUUGAGUCCGGGAGGGGAGAGCGGAAUUCCUAGUGUAGCGGUGAAAUGCGCAGAUAUUAGGAAGAACACCGGUGGCGAAGGCGGCUCUCUGGAACGGUACUGACGCUGAGACGCGAAAGCGUGGGGAGCGAACAGGAUUAGAUACCCUAGUAGUCC